AGGAAUUGGCGGGGGAGCACCGCAACGGGAGGAGCGUGCGGUUUAAUUGGAUUCAACACCGGAAAACUCACCAAGGGCGACUGUUACAUGAAGGCCAGGCCGACGACCUUGCCGGAUUUUCAGAGAGGUGGUGCAUGGCCGUCGUCAGUUCGUACCGUAAGGCGUUCUCUUAAGUGAGAUAACGAACGAGACCCUCACCGAUAAUUGCUACUUCUUCCUCCGGGGAGGAGGCACAUUAUCGGGACCGCUGGCGCUAAGCCAGAGGAAGGAGAGGUCAACGGUAGGUCAGUAUGCCCCGAAUCUCUUGGGCUACACGCGCGCUACAAAGGGCGGGACAAUGGGCUCCGACGCCGAGAGGCGGAGGCAAUCCCGAAACCCGUCCGUAGUUCGGAUUGAGGGCUGUAACCCGCCCUCAUGAAGCUGGAUUCCGUAGUAAUCGCGAAUCAACAACUCGCGGUGAAUACGCCCCUGCUCCUUGCACACACCGC
Molecule: ribosomal RNA, 488 nt
Filed under: uncultured euryarchaeote
Lineage: Archaea; Methanobacteriati; Methanobacteriota
Description: bacterial SSU rRNA
Rfam family: Archaeal small subunit ribosomal RNA
Source: RNAcentral